RNAcentral lists this transfer RNA (72 nucleotides) under Dryococelus australis. RNAcentral describes it as "tRNA-OTHER". It matches the Rfam family "tRNA". From Rfam's summary of the family: Transfer RNA (tRNA) molecules are approximately 80 nucleotides in length. Lineage: Eukaryota; Metazoa; Arthropoda; Insecta; Phasmatodea; Phasmatidae. The record is from RNAcentral.
UCUGGUAUGGUCUAGUGGCUAGGAUACCCGGCUCUCACCCGGGAGGCCCUGGUUCGAUUCCCGGUACCGCAA